Molecule: ribosomal RNA, 228 nt
Filed under: uncultured bacterium
Lineage: Bacteria
Description: partial 16S ribosomal RNA
Rfam family: Bacterial small subunit ribosomal RNA
Source: RNAcentral
UACGUAGGGACCAAGCGUUGUUCGGAUUUACUGGGCGUAAAGGGCGCGUAGGCGGCGUGACAAGUCACUUGUGAAAUCCCCGGGCUCAACCUGGGAAUUGCAGUCGAGACUGUUCGGCUAGAGUGUGGGAGAGGGUGGUGGAAUUCCCGGUGUAGCGGUGAAAUGCGUAGAUAUCGGGAGGAACGAUCAGUGGCGAAGGCGGACCCACCUGGCCCAACACUGACGCUG